This 477-nucleotide ribosomal RNA is filed under the name uncultured bacterium. RNAcentral describes it as "partial 16S ribosomal RNA". It matches the Rfam family "Bacterial small subunit ribosomal RNA", at positions 28 to 523 of the family's 1533-position model. The record is from RNAcentral.
GACGAACGCUGGCGGCGUGCUUAACACAUGCAAGUCGAACGGUAAGGCCCUUCGGGGUACACGAGUGGCGAACGGGUGAGUAACACGUGGGUGAUCUGCCCUGCACUUUGGGAUAAGCCUGGGAAACUGGGUCUAAUACCGGAUAGGACCACGGCCCACCUGGGUUGUGGUGGAAAGCUUUUGCGGUGUGGGAUGGGCCUGCGGCCUAUCGGGUUGUUGGUGGGGUGAUGGCCUACCGAGGCGAGGACGGGUCGCCGGCCUGAGAGGGUGUCGGGCCACACUGGGACUGAGAUACGGCCCAGACUCCUACGGGAGGCAGCAGUGGGAAUAUUGCGCAAUGGGCGCAAGCCUGAUGCAGCGACGCCGCGUGGGGGAUGACGGCCUUCGGGUUGUAAACCUCUUUCACCAGGGACGAAGCGCAAGUGACGGUACCUGGAGAAGAAGCGCCGGCCAACUACGUGCCAGCCGCCGCCGUAA